This is an RNA transcript of Malus domestica (apple), 557 nucleotides long. RefSeq lists it as uncharacterized. The record is from RefSeq and is a predicted model, not a curated record. Lineage: Eukaryota; Viridiplantae; Streptophyta; Magnoliopsida; Rosales; Rosaceae.
AAGGUGAUGGACAGAGAGAGACAGCCCAUCCUUCAUCCCAUGUGCUCUCUCCAUAUAUACAACUUACAACUACGCCUCACUUGUUUUCUUUCGGUUAACUCCACCAUCUUUCUAAAUCUACACGCUAGCUAACCUCUCUCUCUCCUCUCCAGGUGGUAGUUGGAUACUUCUGAGGGAAGUGAUGGCUGCCGAAGCACCGGGGUGGGCCGAUCAGUGGGGCGCCGGAGGCAUUGGAGCACUGGAAGAUGCAGAGAGCGCCAAAACGGGAGAAAACGACAGCAGCAACAAGAAGGCAGAGACCAAGUCUGGCUUAGGCAAGGCCAAGGUGGCUGCAAUGGCUGGCGCUGAGAAGAUCAAGAGCGGCACAUCCAACGGCAUCAAAUGGAUCAAAAAUCAGUGCCAGAAGAAAAAAACAACCAAACCAGAUAACUAGAAAUGUUCCAUAUCCAGAAAGUUCAAUUGUUUGUUGUCUAAGUGUUGAUUUGUGAUUAUUUUUGCCUGUUUGGUGUGUAAGAAUGUUGAAAUACCAAUCGUAAUUUGUUUCUUGGAACAAUCAA